This 31-nucleotide non-coding RNA is filed under the name Rattus norvegicus (Norway rat). Lineage: Eukaryota; Metazoa; Chordata; Mammalia; Rodentia; Muridae. The record is from RNAcentral.
UGGGACUAUAAAUUAGCAUCCAGCUUUUUAU